This 258-nucleotide ribosomal RNA is filed under the name Salmonella enterica subsp. enterica serovar Stanley. Its description in RNAcentral is "partial 23S ribosomal RNA". It matches the Rfam family "Bacterial large subunit ribosomal RNA", at positions 228 to 524 of the family's 2925-position model. Lineage: Bacteria; Pseudomonadati; Pseudomonadota; Gammaproteobacteria; Enterobacterales; Enterobacteriaceae. The record is from RNAcentral.
ACCGAGAUUCCCCCAGUAGCGGCGAGCGAACGGGGAGGAGCCCAGAGCCUGAAUCAGCAUGUGUGUUAGUGGAAGCGUCUGGAAAGGCGCGCGAUACAGGGUGACAGCCCCGUACACAAAAGCGCAUGUGCUGUGAGCUCGAUGAGUAGGGCGGGACACGUGGUAUCCUGUCUGAAUAUGGGGGGACCAUCCUCCAAGGCUAAAUACUCCUGACUGACCGAUAGUGAACCAGUACCGUGAGGGAAAGGCGAAAAGAAC